AGAGUUUGAUCAUGGCUCAGAUUGAACGCUGGCGGCAGGCCUAACACAUGCAAGUCGAGCGGUAACGCGGGGGUAACCCUGGCGACGAGCGGCGGACGGGUGAGUAACGCGUAGGAAUCUACCUGGUAGUGGGGGAUAGCCCGGGGAAACUCGGAUUAAUACCGCAUACGCCUUAAGGGGGAAAGCAGGGGAACUUCGGUCCUUGUGCUAUCAGAAGAGCCUGCGUUGGAUUAGCUAGUUGGUAGGGUAAAGGCCUACCAAGGCGACGAUCCAUAGCUGGUCUGAGAGGAUGAUCAGCCACACUGGGACUGAGACACGGCCCAGACUCCUACGGGAGGCAGCAGUGGGGAAUAUUGGACAAUGGGGGCAACCCUGAUCCAGCCAUGCCGCGUGUGUGAAGAAGGCCUUCGGGUUGUAAAGCACUUUAAGUGGGGAGGAAGGGGUGAUUAUUAAUACUAACCAUCAUUGACGCUACCCACAGAAUAAGCACCGGCUAACUCUGUGCCAGCCGCCGCGGUAAUAC
Molecule: ribosomal RNA, 523 nt
Filed under: uncultured bacterium
Lineage: Bacteria
Description: bacterial SSU rRNA
Rfam family: Bacterial small subunit ribosomal RNA
Source: RNAcentral